RNAcentral lists this ribosomal RNA (222 nucleotides) under Triticum aestivum (bread wheat). RNAcentral describes it as "partial small subunit ribosomal RNA". Lineage: Eukaryota; Viridiplantae; Streptophyta; Magnoliopsida; Poales; Poaceae. The record is from RNAcentral.
AUGGGGUUGGCAUCCUACAAUACGCUGAUGAUACGGUGUUGUGCUUUGAGCAUGAUGUUGACAAAGCUGUCAACAUCAAACUCUUGUUGUAUCUCUUCGAGCUUAUGUCAGGACUUAAGAUCAACUUUGAGAAGAGCAAAAUCUUCAGUAUUGGGGGAGAUAAUGAUAUUGACUUGGUUUAUGCGAACAUGUUUGGAUGCCAAGUGGGGACUCUCCCUAUGA